Lolium rigidum is the source of this 2132-nucleotide long non-coding RNA. RefSeq lists it as uncharacterized. NCBI's taxonomy places the organism in Eukaryota, Viridiplantae, Streptophyta, Magnoliopsida, Poales, Poaceae. The record is from RefSeq and is a predicted model, not a curated record. The transcript has 3 exons.
GCGUUCUUCCUCGGCGAGACGCUGAGAUCUUGUAUCCCCAGAUAUUGUGUGGGUUAAUCAAGGAAGAUCCGUGAGGAGGAUCUUACAGCUCCUGUUGCUGAUCUUGAACUCCACCGCCUGGCCUCCCUAGAUACAUCUGAGAGCUGCGAGAGGACGCCGCCGAAGAUGCUGCCACGCGGAGGAGUAGAGGAAGCGCGGAGGGCGACCCGAGGAACGGCGACGCCGGUGAGAAGAAGCACGGGAGGAUUUUGGAGCUACCAAAAUCGUGUUGACGACGGCGGCGGAGGGGAAUCGGCGGAGCGGCCUAUGCGGUGCUGGACGGAAAGCAACGGCAUGCGAGGACGUCGGAGCUGGCCGGCCUCGUGGUGGCAGAAGCGCCACUCAACGGCGCUCGCCGCUGCCGGUUUUUGUCCGGUCUUCCAAACUUCAGGUGUAAGGCAAUAAGUAUUACUGGUUCCGUGUUCUGUUGGUGCUGAUCUGAUUGAUUCACUCUCUAUUUUGCAAGGUGGUGUACUCAGCGACAAAAAGGAAGGAAGACUCAAGGAUGCAUCUUGGUGUUGGAUUUGCUGGACGCAAUAUUGGCCAUGCGAGCUAGCUAGAUAAGGGAACACUAUGCGUGGGGGAGGGCCUGCAAGGAUGUUUGCACGGGUGAGCCUGACGGAGAGGUCAUGCUACAAGAAGUUCUUCCCCGCUCCAUGGAGGAUGUUGUUUAGCACUGUACACCGAAGACGAGAAAGUCGCAUCCUUAGGAUUCUACACCCUUAUGUGUGGCUAUGGUGGGUGAUGCGAAAUUAGUGAAAUCAGAAUGCCACACGAGGGCACCAAAUAAUUAAAAAAUCCAGAUAAAACCAAUUGCAGGUUCUUGCGGAUAUAUGCAGAUUAAGUUUACAAAUAGAUGCUCUCAUGUCAUGUGCAAAUAGAUAUAUGCAUCUUAUAGUUCUGCUGCACAAGAGCAGCUUAUUUUUGACAGGGCAUCUUUCUGAUUUUUUUUAUUCUGUUGUCACAUCUAAAUGGUAUGUUUGGUUGUUUCUGCAAAGUUUCCAGUUAAGCUGAAAUUGCUAUUCUUCUAUACUGAGUAUUCUUUCCUCAUCUCAUUGCAGAUGUACAUGCAUGGUUAUGUGAAAAUAGGAAAUACUAAAUUGAUUUUAGGGCCCUGAUUUAUUGAUUGGUUUGUAUAGUAUGUACGUGUUUACUUUACUCCAUUGUUCAUCCCAAGUUCCCAACUUCUAUGCUCUGGAUAUUUCUAAUCUUGACUACAUGCACUUGAAACUAUACUUUUCAUGUUGGCCUGGAAGUGCAUAGUUCUUCCUUUCUAUUUUAGAUAUCUGAAAAGUAAAUAUAUAACUGGUCAAAUAAUUCUAUAUACAAAAUAGUUUAGUUUACUGUUGAGUGUGUCACCUCUGUGAUGCAUGGAUCUUCAUGUGUGCCAGUGUGUGUUAUUCACAACGCCAUGUUUGUUUAGAAGGUUUGAUUUUAAAACAACAUAAAAUUUAUGAUGCCCAUUGACUUAUUGGUUGUAGUACGAUCUAUACUGAAUCAAAUUUUUGCAGAUUAGCCCUACAUAGUUUCCAUGUUUAAGUUCGACUGCAUUUAAUUUUAUGACUGUUGAGGUAAUUGCAGGUAGCCUCGGUGUUACAUCUCAAGUUACGGUGCAGCAGAACCCUUGACAAACAAAGAAAGCAGCCAGUUCACCGAAUCUGACCACUAACUUCUCCACUAAUGGAAAAUAAAUCGUCAUCCUAACAAUUUCAAAAAAAAAAUCGUCAUCCUAACACCUAAGUAGGAGUACAAGGCAACACACCCUUCAAAGAAUAGCUACUUAGUUUCUGAAUUUUCUGUCAUGUUGUAUUGUUCUGUAAGCUUCACCUGAAUAGAUGAGGAAGGGCAGCUGGACGCUGGUCAUGCGAUACAGAAGGACAACUGAAAUCCACACUGAAUAGGUACACAUCUGUACAUCAGUAUGAUGUGUUGUAGCUUUCAUAUACAAAAAGCUUUAUGAAUUCAAGGUUCUGUUACAGUCUAGACUCUGUCACUUGAACGGAUGCUUGGAUGUAGAUUCAAAUGGUUAUUCUUUUUUCAGACUGUCUGAUAAAGUAUUAUCAUGGUAUCAGUAUAUGCCAUGUGUCCAGGCU